AGGAUAAACGCUGGCGGCGUGCCUAACACAUGCAAGUCGAACGCGCUUUCGGGCUUCGGUGCGAGAGCGAGUGGCGGACGGGUGAGUAACACAUGGGUACCUACCUUGGAGUGAGGGAUACCGGCGAGAAAUCGCCGACAAUACCGCAUAGGCUUCUUCACAAGGGAAGCAAAGUGACGCGAGUCACGCUUUGAGAUGGGCCUGUGGCCGAUUAGCUAGUUGGGGGGGUAACGGCUUCCCAAGGCGACGAUCGGUAGCUGGUCUGAGAGGACGAUCAGCCACACUGGGAUUGAGAACGGCCCAGACUCCUACGGGGGGCAGCAGUGAGGAAUUUUCCGCAAUGGAGGCAACUCUGACGGAGCAACGCCGCGUGCAGGAGGAAGGUUUCGGAUCGUAAACUGCUUUUCUCGGGGACGAGCAAGGACGGUACCCGAGGAAGAAGCCCCGGCUAACUACGUGCCAGCAGCCGC
This 470-nucleotide ribosomal RNA is filed under the name uncultured bacterium. RNAcentral describes it as "SSU rRNA". It matches the Rfam family "Bacterial small subunit ribosomal RNA", at positions 26 to 518 of the family's 1533-position model. The record is from RNAcentral.